UUUCUCACAAAAAAUAUUUAAAAAAACUUGCAUUCAUGACGAAAUAAUGAAGUAUAUGGUGAAGAAUAUGAAUCUAGUAAAAGUCAAUCUUAUGUUGACAAUAUUCUGAAAAGUGAAAAAGCAUUAAUGAAGCGUUUUCUAACUGCUAAAUUAGAUAAAUUUAAUGAAAUAAUUAAUCAAGAAUC
Molecule: long non-coding RNA, 185 nt
Organism: Daktulosphaira vitifoliae (grape phylloxera)
Lineage: Eukaryota; Metazoa; Arthropoda; Insecta; Hemiptera; Phylloxeridae
Exons: 3
Source: RefSeq, a predicted model, not a curated record